Molecule: ribosomal RNA, 130 nt
Filed under: Jaculus jaculus (lesser Egyptian jerboa)
Lineage: Eukaryota; Metazoa; Chordata; Mammalia; Rodentia; Dipodidae
Source: RNAcentral
GCCAUACCACCCUGAACGCGCCCGAUCUCGUCUGAUCUUGGAAGCUAAGCAGGGUCGGGCCUGGUUAGAACUUGGGUGGGAGACAACUGCAGAGUGAGCUCUGACCGCCACUUGUGCUGGGGCAGGCUGC